Long non-coding RNA from Salmo trutta (river trout), 3078 nucleotides. The record is from Ensembl. NCBI's taxonomy places the organism in Eukaryota, Metazoa, Chordata, Actinopteri, Salmoniformes, Salmonidae.
CCACACCAGAGCAUAGGCAAAGGACAAGGAAAAAAACAAAGGUAUUUCACCUACUUAGAAAUCACCUUAAGAAAUACUAUAGUCUUUGUUUGCAUUUAUUUUCUAUUUCAUGUGAUUUGUUUUCUCUCUCUCCCCCUUCUCUCUCUACCUCUCUCUCUCUCUCCCCCUUCUCCCCCCUCUCCCCUUCUCCCCCACUCUCCCCCUUCUCUCUCCCCCCUUCUCUCUCCCCCUCUCUCUCUCCCCCUUCUCUCUCUCCCCCUUCCCCUCAUUCUCUCUCCCCCUCUCUCUCCCUUCUCUCUCCCCCCUUCUCUCUCUACCUCUCUCCCCCCUUCUCUCUCCCCCUCUCUCCCUCCUCUCCCCUUCUCCCCCCUUCUCUCUCCCCCUUCUCUCUCCCGCUCUCUCUCUCUCCCUCCUUCUCUCUCCCCCCUUCUCUCUCCCCCUCUCUCCCCCCUUCUCUCUCCCCCUCUCCCCUUCCUUCUCUCUCCCCCUCUCUCCCCCUUCUCUCUCCCUCUCUCCCCCCUCUCCACUUCUCCCCCCUUCUCUCUCCCCCUCUCUCUCUCCCCCUCUCUCUCACCCCCUUCUCUCUCCCCCUCUCUCUCUCCCCCUCUCCCCUUCCUUCUCUCUUCCCUUCUCUCUCUUCCCUCUCUCUCCCCUCUCUCCCCCCUUCUCUCUCCCUCCUCUCUCCCCCCUUCUCUCUCUCCCCCCUUCUCUCUCUCCCCCUUCUUUCUCCCCCUCUCCCCCCUCUCUCCCCCUUCUCUCACCCCCCUUCUCUCUCUCCCUCUCUCUCUCCCCCCUUCUCUCUCCCCCUUUCCCUCUCCCCCUCCCCCUCCUUCUCUGUCCCCACUCUCCCCUUCUCCCCCCCUCUCUCUCUCCCCCCCUUCUCUCUCCAUCCCCCUCUCUCUCCCCCUCUCUCUCCCCCCUUCUCUCCCCCCUUCUCUCUCCCCCCUUCUAUCUCCCCCUUCUCUCUCCCCCCUCUCCCCUUCCUUUUCUCUCCCCCUCUCUCCCCCUUCUCUCUCCCUCUCUCCCCCUGUCCCCUUCUCCCCCUUCUCUCUCCCCCUUUCUCUCUCCCCCCUUCUCUCUCCCUGUCCUUCUCUCACCCCCCUUCUCUCUCUCCCUCUCUCUCUCCCCCCUUCUCUCUCCCCCUUUCCCUCUCCCCCUCCCCCUCCUUCUCUGUCCCCACUCUCCCCUUCUCCCCCCCUCUCUCUCUCCCCCCCUUCUCUCUCCAUCCCCCUCUCUCUCCCCCUCUCUCUCCCCCCUUCUCUCCCCCCUUCUCUCUCCCCCCUUCUAUCUCCCCCUUCUCUCUCCCCCUCUCCCCUUCCUUUUCUCUCCCCCUCUCUCCCCCUUCUCUCUCCCUCUCUCCCCCUGUCCCCUUCUCCCCCUUCUCUCUCCCCCUUUCUCUCUCCCCCCUUCUCUCUCCCUGUCCUUCUCUCUCCCCCUCUCUCUCUCCCCCUUCUCUCUCCCCCCUCUCCCCUUCCUUCUCUCUCACCCUCUCUCUCCCCCCCUUCUCUCUCUCUCUCCUCCACCCCCUCUCUCCCCCUUCUCUCUCCCCCUCUCUCUCCCCCUUCUCUCUCCCCCUCUCCCCUUCCUUCUCUCUCCCCCCUUCUCUCUCCCCCUCCUUUUCUCUCCCCCUCUCCCUCCUCUCUCCCCACUUCUCUCUCCCUCUCUCUCUCCCCCCUUCUCUCUCCCCCUCUCUCUCCCCCUUCUCUCUCCCCCUCUCCCCUUUCUUCUCUCUCCCCCUCUCUCCCCCUUCUCUCUCCCUCUCUCCCCCCUCUCCACUUCUCCCCCCUUCUCUCUCCCCCUCUCUCUCUCCCUUCUCUCUCCCCCUUCUCUCUCCCCCUCUCCCCUUCCUUCUCUCUUCCCUUCUCUCUCUCCCCCUCUCUCUCCCCCUUCUCUCUCCCUCCUUCUCUCUGCCCCUCUCUCUCCCCCCUUCUCUCUCUCCCCCUUCUCUCUCCCCCCUCUCCCCUUCUCCCCCCUCUCCCCCUUCUCUCACCCCCCCUUCUCUCUCUCCCUCUCUCUUUCACCCCUUCUCUCUCCCCCUUUCUCUCUCCCCCCCUCCUUCUCUCUCCCCCUUCUCUCUCCCACCUCUCCCCUUCUCCCCCCCUCUCUCUCCCCCCUUCUCUCUCCAUCCCCCUCUCUCUCCCCCUCUCUCCCCCCUUCUCUCUCCCCCCUUCUAUCUCCUCCCUUCUCUCUCCCCCUCUCCCCUUCCUUUUCUCUCCCCCUCUCUCUCCCCCUUCUCUCUCCCUCUCUCCCCCUGUCCCCUUCUCCCCCCUCUUUAUCCCCCCUUCUCUCUCCCCCUCUCUCUCUCCCCCCUUCUCUCUCCCGCUCUCUCUCUCCCCCCUUCUCUCUCUCUCUCCCCCUCCCCCUCUCUCCCCCUUCUCUCUCGCCCUCUCUCUCUCCCCCUUCUCCCUCCCUUUCUCCCCAUUCUCUCUCCCCCUCUCCCCCUCCUUCUCUCUCCCCCUCUCUCUCCCCCUCUCCCCUUCCAUCUCUCUCCCCCCUUCUCUCUCCCCCUCUCUCUCUCCCCCAUCUCUCUCCCCCUCCUUCUCUCUCCCCCUCUCCCCUCCUUCUCUCUCCCCCCUUCUCUCUUCCCCCUUCUCUCUCUCCCUCUCUCUCCCCUUCUCUCCCCCUCUCCCCUUCCUUCUCUCUCCCCCUCUCUCCCCCCUUCUCUCUCCCCCUCUCCCCUUCUCCCCCCUCUCUAUCCCCCCUCUCUCUCUCUCUCUCUCCCCCUCCCCCUCUCUCCCCCCCUCUCUCUCCCCCUCCCCCUCUCUCCCCCUUCUCUCUCCCCCUCUUUCUCUCUCCCCCUUUCUCCCCCCUUCUCUCUCCCCCUCUCUCGCUCCCCCUUCUCUCUCCCCCCUUCUCUCUCUCCCCCUCCCUCUCGAUCCCCCCCUUUUCUCACCCCCUUCUCUCUCCCCCUUUCUCUCUCCCCCUCCUUCUCUCUGCCCCUUUCUCUCUCCCCCCUUCUCUCUCUUUCUCCCCCUCCUUCUCUCUCCCCCUCUCUCCCCCCCUUCUCUAAAGUGCAGCCCAUUAACUAACUUAAUGUUGUUGUUCCUCAAAGAGUCUUUGAGAUUCUUCUUGUAUUGA